Molecule: non-coding RNA, 23 nt
Filed under: Gossypium hirsutum (cotton)
Lineage: Eukaryota; Viridiplantae; Streptophyta; Magnoliopsida; Malvales; Malvaceae
Source: RNAcentral
CAUGCCCAUGAGAUUAUUUAUCA